AGAAAACACCUGGGUGAGCUGACUCUCCUUGUUUGUGUUCAGAAGAGCAUGGCUGUAGUUGUGGAUUGGAAGACCUUUUUGACCAAAGGAGAGUGCAGAUGAUGGAGAGGAGGAGGACUGGAUAGGAAGAAGAUAAAUGAUACAAGCCCACCAAUUUGUUGUUUUUAAACAAUAAAAUACAAAAAUGAGCUGGUCUACUAUCUCGUUAUGGGCCGCAAGGACAUACUGGCUGAAUGUCCAUAUGCCUACAGGUGCUGGACACCCUGCAAGGCUGUGACUUACAGGGCCAUUAAAGAUAUGUUGAGGAUGCCUCAAGCGAGGCUGAACUUCCUUAUCAGGGCCCCGUAAACUCCUCCCAAUCCCCGGAACCUGCACCUCUGGUAGGGCUCAUAGGAUCCCUGCCAACUCUGCAGCUCCCUGAACCUGAGCUAGCAGCACAUCCUUUCUGGCUGCGAGGCAGCACUGACACAGGACCAGUAUGGAUGGCGACCCGACUGGGUCCUGAAUAAACUUGGAGACACGCUGGCUGGAAGCUAACAGGGCCCGCCCGUCAACAUCACAGCAGCUGAUCCAAUUUAUCAGGUAAGGGGGUGAGGCUCAGAGCAGCAGCAUGAGGGAGUUCUCCCUCUUGUCGUCCAGAGAUGAGCAGUACAUGAGGGCUGACCUCAACUGCCAGUUGAAGUUCCCAUAAGGGAUCACCACAACCUCCCUACUGCACUGGUCCACCUCUACUAGGAUGGACAUUAUGGCUUAAUUGACUGUUUCAUGGGACGACAGAAUGGAGAUUGCCUAUGAGAGAAAGAAGAAAAGUACACAGAGCUUUCAGCUGUGUGCUCAAAACCAGGGUGGAGGGCAUCCACCUAUCAAAUGGCAGGGGGUUGCAGGGGCUACACUGGGACAUCCCCCCAGUGAUUCCUGAAGUCUGUUUGGAUCAAAGGCUUCAAGCUCAGGAAGGCUUUCAAAGACCUGGUGAAGGAGGCAGAACAAGGGAGCUUCUGGCUCUGGCUCUGAAGAAAGGACAAGGUGUAGGGAAAGCAAGGAUCCUUGGGCAGGCUGCAGGCAGCUCCCAGCUGACGACCCUGGAGCCGGCACAACAGCACCGUCGGUGGUGUGUCAGGCGGAAAUACCCAGCAGGUGGACUGACUUGUGCUCAAAUCUUUUCUUCAAAAAUCAUUCAUUUAUUUCUAUCUGAAAAAGUCCCUUUUUGGUUAACCAUGUUUUUUCUUUGUUUGUACUUGCAUCUACCCUUUGUGUGCAUGUGCGCAGUGGUGUGUCUGUAUGCCUGUGUAUGCCAGCUCCUUUGUCAGCUAAAAACAAAAAUCAAUUAGUUUGCGUCCAAACUGGCUACCAUAGCCCUUUGAAGCAUACGUGGAGGAAUGUAAUUCCUUUGAGCUCUGAGCACCAUCUAUUUCGGUCCAUGUUUGUCUAAUUGAAAUGUUGCUACAAAAACAAUAGAGUGAGGCAGAGGGGGAAAACCAAUUUAAAAAGUUGAUGAGGAUGGGAUUUUCUGGCUGGAACAAUUCCCAGCACUUUAAGAGUUCAGGUUAAAUUUCAGUAGCAUUUUGUCUCUCACACACACACACACACAGACAAACACACAUUUGUCUUACAUCAGUUGUGAGGAUACUCGUUGACAUAAAGCAUUCCCUAGCCCCUUACCCUAACCUUAACGAUCACAACUAAAAGCCUUACCCCUACCCUAACCUAACACUAACCUAAACCUGAUUCUAACCUGAACCCUAAAACCAAGUCUUUAAAGUCAAACAGCCCUUUGAGGGUGUGAAGACUGGCCAAAACGUCCUCAAAACGAUGGUUUCAAACCAGAAUUUGUCCCCACAACCAUAGAAAGGCACACGCAUGGACACAAUCAAUGAUAAAGACACUAAUAUAUGAGUACACAAAUAACACUGACAUGUCAUUAAUAUUGUCAUGCACUGGGAGAGACAUGAAAAAACACUUUAAUGCACAUUAAACAAGAUUGAAGUGCGUGCUUUUUUUUUCUGUACAUUAAGGGCUCAGAUAAAAAGGAGACAUAGAUUCACUAAUUUGGCAUUUGCUAUUACACUCCUCCAUGUUUAUGAAAACAGUUCCUGCUGAAAUGUUUUCCUUUUCAUAUGGAGGGAUGCAUAUGCAAGAUAUCUAACAUCACAACAUUAGUAGAAACUUUUUGGAUACUCUCUAUCUUCAAGUGUUUCCUAGCCUCCAACCAUAAACAUAGAUGCAACUAAGAGUCUAAGAGUCUACAACCAUGCCAGCAGCACUGAGGAUGUUCUUUAGGAACAGUGAAAAUGUUAGCAUUUGCUAAUUACAGUUAACAAUACAAUGAAAUGGGCCAAAACCCAAAGUAUAGCUGAGGCCAAUGUAAAUGUCAUUAUUUUUGAAAAUAUAUGGUAAUAAACCAAAGUGUUGAACAAAUUUAAUAUUUUUCCUGAUGUCAUUAGAUGAAAACCAAAGUUGUUACAAUUUAGGAACAUUAGUAUCUGCAACAAAUUCCAUGCCAAUCCAUUCAAAAUAAUUGUCAAGACAUUUCAAUUGAAACUACAACUGUAACCUUCUGUUGGCACUAGAGGACAAGUCACGGGAAAACCAGAGUCUUUAGGAAUUAUCCUCUGGGUACCAUGAUUGUGGCAAUCCAUCCAUGAAGAAGGCUGGUUAUAUAAGUGGUUCCAAGUGCUUCACUUCAUCACAGAAGAAAAUGAAGUAAAAAAUAAAUAUAGUAAAAUAAAGCACAAUCCAAUAAACCCAAUUCAACCUAAUAAAAAUGUAGCUAAAAUAAACCCAAAUCAUAUACACAUAUUGAGCUAAUGCUAAAUACACUAUGUGUGCAUGAAAAUAACUUUUAAGAGAAACUGUGUGGGGAAAUCAAAGCACGACUUUUACUCUUUUACUCUUACUAGAGCAAAGCACUGAUCGAAGAAAAUCCUAAGCUGGACAUGAAAGCAUGCUGCCAAAAGUUUCUUCUUCAUUCGAUUGUGGCCUUCAUUUUAUGACCUGUAGACAUGCUGAGUGGGAAUCAUGAAUACUGAACUUCACGUUUGACGACAUGCACAUUAGGAUUCAACCAGGGAUACACUGUUGGCAUCAUGGCAACUACUAGACAGAGAAAACUAAGAUCUCAUUCAUUGCAAACCUCCCUAGACUAACUAAGUAAGGCAACACUGAAGUGUCAAGAUGGUAUAACAGUACAACUGUCUACAUCCCCCUUUUUUAGCUUCAGGUCUCAGCCAAUAGCAAAAUGACAGAUAUAGUGUAUUACUUGUUAGUUCGGAACAAAUAAAACAGAACUAUGAAAUAACGAUCGUGCUUGGUAAAAACAUACUAUACAUGCACCUAAAAGUGGAGUGAGCUGAUAUGAAAGUGCAUCACAACUAUUGAAAUAUACACAACAAUAACACUUAACUCCAUGAAUAAAUGCAUAACACAAAACAACUAACAGCUUUUCUUCCAUUCAGGUAAAAAUUUUCUCCAUGUCCUGCUACUUCAGGUAAUUUGCAUUAGGCAUAAAAAUUCUACCAUAUCUAGUGUGAUACAUGGAAGUAGAAUGCUGGACUACAUUUUUUUCGAGACUCUCCAAGUACAGCAACCCCUAAGUCUCAAAAUGGUAUAAUAAUGGAAUUAUCUGCAUAGCCUACAUUUCUCUCUAUCACCUGACUCCUGGGCUGGUUCUGACUCAGUUUCCUUUCCUCCUCCAUCCUUUUCUUUAAAUGUUGAAAGUAUAAAAAGCCUCCUUUAAAAAAAAAAAAAAAAAAAAAAAAAUCAAGCACUACUCAAAGCAGUGCUUUCAAGCAGCACAGUAAACAAGCUCCUGUUGUUGGAAGGGAUGACUGCCCAGACACAGAUGUUGUUGAAAUUGUGAUAUUGUGUCAUUAAUUAAUCAUUAAUUUAAUUGUUCAAAGCCCUUCAUAUUGCUGUAUUAAAUUGUUGACUGUUUAUGCCUUAAAGUUCUGCAAGAUUUGUUACAGUAUUUGAGUGUGCUGACGGGUAUUCAAACUCUACACCUACAAAUUCAUAAAAAAUGUUUGUUAUUCACUUGCAUGUUACUUUUGGGUGCUCCAGGAUUGCGUACCUAACACAAACUGAACACAGAAUAUUCAAGAUUGUAUAUCCAAAUGGGUUGUGUGCUUUUAUGUAUUGGUAAUGAGCAUAAUAUUCUUAAGUUCACAUAAAAUGUAUUCAUUCAAUCACUCUGUCAAAGUUAAUCUUAAUAACGAUAGGAAGCCAGCCAAAUCUGGAGACAGUUGGUAUCAU
Xiphias gladius (swordfish) is the source of this 4248-nucleotide long non-coding RNA. RefSeq lists it as uncharacterized. The record is from RefSeq and is a predicted model, not a curated record. Lineage: Eukaryota; Metazoa; Chordata; Actinopteri; Istiophoriformes; Xiphiidae. The transcript has 4 exons.